UCUGUUCCAAUAUUUGGACUUUGACCUCAGUUCCUGACACAGAUCUCCUAAAUCCUUGGCAAUUUCCUGGAUGAUAGGAUCAUCUUUUGUUCUAAUGAAGCAACUCUUGGUGGGCUCACAGAGAGUCUCAAGACAGGAGCUGGUUGCCAAGGAAACCAACCAUGCAAUAAGAGGAUUAGAAUAUUCAGCCCCACCCCAUGACUUCCAGAGACAGAGGAAAGGCUGAAGGUUGAGUUGAUUACCAGUAGCUCACGAUAUAAUCAUUCAUGCCUACAUAACACAGCUUUCAUAAGAACCCAAUAGGACAGGGUUCAAGGACCCUCUAAAGAAUGCCACACCUAUAGAGGCAUGGAAACUCUUUGCCACUUUCAUCUGACUAUUGAUCUAUAUCCUUUGUAAUGCCUCUUAUAAGAAAUGGGCAGAUUCUAGCAGUGUUUGUGAGAAAAACUGAUGGAUCCUGCAGAUUAACUAUGGACAGCCAAAUAUUGAGUAAAGUGAUGUCUACAACAGCAUCAGCUAUGCCUGAUAUGGUGUUAAUUCACAUUGUGAAGUCCUCAAUAGGAAAAAGAUGCCUCCCUGGUCGACCUUCCUGGAAAGUAUGCAUAUCAUUACUGCUUAGAUUUUGUUGGAGAGAAAUCACACUACCAUCAAAGACAACGGGUCAAAAAGAAUGCCGUCCUAAGCUGAGAAGCCAUCUUCCUAACGACAGCCAUGUAAUAUGAAAGGGAAAAACACACUGUUAUUGAAGAACUUAUCAGCUAUGUCACAUCUUCCACACAAAUACUCAGGAAAGUUAAAAGAAAAUUUUACCUCGGACACAGUUGAUGAUUGCUAAAGUCCUAUUGCAUGCUUUAAGAUGCCUUGCGUUUGGUGAAUUGAAGCCUGAUAUGUCAACAUACUCUCUGUAAACACAGCAGCACAGAGGGCAAAGAAACACUUAUCCAGCACCACAGCUAGGACAAAAGGAAUUAUUUUGACAGUAAAUGGACUUGCAGCUUAAGGUUGGUAUGUACCCAAUUGUGACUAAACCAAAAGAAACAAAUCUGGAAACUGAAGUAUCAAUACGUGAAAAGCGUUCUUUUGGUAUUGGGAGUGCCAGUUGUCUUUGUUUCAUGAACUACUUCUCCGUAAUAGCAUGCAGCCAUCUUCAAGAGGUGAGAAUUUCACUUAGCGACUUAAACAGAAGUGUUAUCUCAAGAUAAUAUAAUAUCUGGAGGUAAAACAGCAUCCCCAGGAUAAACAGGAUUACUCAAAGUUAUUGAGAAGAAAUACAGGUUCUGGUGGACAAUUUCCAGUCUGGAGUCUGCAUUUGGAGAGAUUCUACAGCACAUGCAUGAAUGAGGAGGAGGUGGUGUCCCAAGGGCAUUUAUAUCUUUGCUCUGUAUUUGGAGGAGAAUGGAGAGUUCCAAAUGAUCAGAGCUUGCACAUUACUAGAUCCCCUUUCUAGGGAAAAUGCUGCGAUCAAUUGAAGUUGUCAUCCUCAUGAAGCUCAUACUGUUUUGCCUGAAAAAUAAAUGUAAAUGCACAUUCUUGGUCUUAAAAUACAUAGAAACAAUACUUUUUUCCCUGCUACUAGCUUUGUAAGAUAAAUAGGGUUCAUGUUUAACAUAUAUACUCAAUACUUGGGCAAUUUGUCUUCAUCUAAUGAAUUAUUAUUUACCAUUUUUAAAUUAUCUGCUCAGAUUACAAGAUUCUUUUUAACAAUAACCAAAUUUUAAUUAGUAAAACUUUUGGUCACUUUAUAUUUUCUGAUGUGCAUAUUACAAUAAAAU
RNAcentral lists this long non-coding RNA (1772 nucleotides) under Homo sapiens (human). RNAcentral's name for it is "HSALNT0085943". The record is from RNAcentral. Lineage: Eukaryota; Metazoa; Chordata; Mammalia; Primates; Hominidae.